This 252-nucleotide ribosomal RNA is filed under the name uncultured bacterium. RNAcentral's name for it is "partial 16S ribosomal RNA". It matches the Rfam family "Bacterial small subunit ribosomal RNA", at positions 524 to 776 of the family's 1533-position model. The record is from RNAcentral.
UACGUAGGGGGCAAGCGUUGUCCGGAAUCAUUGGGCGUAAAGAGCGCGUAGGCGGUCCGGUAAGUCCGCUCUGAAAGUCCGGGGCUCAACCCCGGGAGGCGGGCGGAUACUGUCGGGCUAGAGUCCGGAAGAGGCGAGUGGAAUUCCUGGUGUAGCGGUGAAAUGCGCAGAUAUCGGGAGGAACACCAGUAGCGAAGGCGGCUCGCUGGGCCAUUCCUGACGCUGAGACGCGAAAGCUAGGGAGCGAACAGG